Molecule: long non-coding RNA, 147 nt
Filed under: Fukomys damarensis (Damara mole-rat)
Lineage: Eukaryota; Metazoa; Chordata; Mammalia; Rodentia; Bathyergidae
Description: lncRNA (ENSFDAG00000023491.1)
Source: RNAcentral
CAAAAUGGUCAGGCACCUGGAGAAUACCUCAGAUACACAAAGAGAACAUCCCACCAGCAUGGAAAGUAUCAGAUGAAAGGAAAGAAAGAAGGAUGAAAGGACUUGUGGGAGAGAGGGAGAAAAGAAGAAAAGAAAAAAGGGCAGAAG